Molecule: long non-coding RNA, 4259 nt
Organism: Ruditapes philippinarum (Manila clam)
Lineage: Eukaryota; Metazoa; Mollusca; Bivalvia; Venerida; Veneridae
Exons: 4
Source: RefSeq, a predicted model, not a curated record
GAUUGGGUGUUUUUGCUGAAGAGGACAUAAAAAGGGACAUUUUGUUUGUUUCUAUGAGGGGUUUUGGUCUUUUCCGGUGAACAGAGAUUGAAGAGGUUCAGUAGUGAGCAUUAAAUUGUUAGUAGGGAGUUUCCUGUUUUUCUCACGACACAAGGGAUAAGAAUUUAGUAUUGAUGCACAAUUGAGUAUAAUAACAAUUGAGUCACAGCAAGUACCAAUUCUCCCAAGAGGAACUGUAAGGUGGUGGUUGAGCAGAAAGAAGAAAUAAAGCUGGCUUUUUAUACCAUAAAAAAUAUCUAAAAGAGCCAGGAACUAAGAUUGGAUUAUAAUAACAAAUCUGUACAUAGUCGCAAAUUAGAUCCCAUUGAAGCAGCAUCUGAGACUGGGGAGGUAGUAGACCAAAACAAGAUAGAGACUUGCAACAAAGAUGUUGGGAACAAAACUGAUCCUGCAGCAUCCAGUGGUACCAGUAAAUGUGGCAGGAAGGUCCAGAGAGUAAGAUUGAAGAGGCUUUCAUGAGGAAAUCAUUGAAAUAUCAUAUAAAUGGAAGUAAAUCAAGUGUUCCUUAAUAAACUUUGACAUCAUAACAGCACAAAACACCUGUAGUGAGUUAAGAACAAAAAAUUUUCCUCAAAUAAGAUCUAAGUUAAAAAACAUGAAAUUAGGUAAAUUUAAGUAACAUUUUACCAUUUCAUCAUAGACAAAUUUAUGGUGAACAAAUAUAUUUACUGUUUGAAGAUUUUACACAUUCCUGUGGACAUAUGCUUGAAAUGGCUGGGUGAAUGAGGAUCAAAAUUGACCUCUUUUAUAAAUUUUUGUCGGCAUUGAGUAUGCAUAAUUUAUUCAGCCUGAAAUGUGUUUGACAUUUGAUAAUGCAGCUGCAUGAAAUAAGUGCUAGAAAAUUAUAUAAUGAAGUCUGGAAGAUUUCUAAAAUAAUACUUGUAUUGUUUUCAUCUAUGUAAGUUAACGUAAAGCAAACAAAUGUACCUCAAACAAAAAGAAACAGGGUAAACAACAUUAAUUUUCCUAAUAUGUACAAAGUAAAAACUUAAAAAAAUCUUAUUUUAAAAAAAUCAAAUAGCUAGACCCUUUUUUAGAUAUUAAGCAUGAAACAUCUUCUAGUGAGUGUCUACCAAGAUUGAUUUCUAAAAAAAAGCCCUCAAGUCAAAAUUGGCCACGGCCCACAGGGUCAUUGAUUUUCCUUCUUUGUAUGUAGUAAAAACGUAAAGAAUCUUUUAAAACACUCAUAUGGCUAGAGCUUUUUUAGAUGUUAAGCAUGAAACAUUUUCUAGUGAGUGUCUUCCAAGUUUAUUCAAAUAAAAGCCCUGUGGUCAAAAUUGGCCCUGAACACUGGGGUCAUUGAUUUCCCUUAUAAUUUGUUUGGUUUUAUUAACCUGUGAAUUCUGUACUGAUUAUAUGGUCAAUAUUCAGAAUAUAUUAAUAUUCUAUAAAUGUUCGGUAAAUUCUGUGAGAUGUACUCAGUAAGAUGAUAUUUAAUUAUGUCUCCCCCACCUCGGGGGGAGACAUAUUGUUUUUGCCCUGUCCGUCCGUCAGUCCGUCCGUCCGUCAGUCCGUCCGUCCAUUCUUCGUUUCCGGACGAUAACUAGAGUUCCUUUUGACCUACAGCUCUCAAACUUCAUAGGAUGAAUGGUCUUAUUGAGCAGAUGAUCCCUAUUGUUUUUGGGGUCAGUAGUUCAAAGGUCAAGGUCACAGUGACCGUUGGUCAAUUUCUCGUUUCCGGAUGAUAACUAGAGUUCCUUUUGACCUACAGCCCUCAAACUUCAUAGGAUGAUUGGUCUUAUAGAGCUGAUGAUCCCUAUUGUUUUUGGGGUCAGUAGGUCAAAGGUCAAGGUCACACUGACCGUUGGUCAAUUUCUCGUUUCCGGAUGAUAACUAGAGUUCCUUUAGACCUACAGACCUCAAACUUCAUAGGAUGAUUGGUCUUAUUGAGCAGAUGAUCCCUAUUGUUUUUGGGGUCAGUAGUUCAAAGGUCAAGGUCACAGUGACCGUUGGUCAAUUUCUCGUUUCCGGAUGAUAACUAGAGUUCCUUUUGACCUACAGCCCUCAAACUUCAUAGGAUGAUUGGUCUGAUAGAGCAGAUGAUCCCUAUUGUUUUUGGGGUCAGUAGGUCAAAGGUCAAGGUCACAGUGACCGUUGGUCAAUUUCUCCAUUUCCAUUCCUGUUUCCAUUCACAGUUAUUCUCAGCAGUGGGGGAGACAUGCGCUUUUUUACAAAAGCAUCCUCUAGUUCAUCUUGUUUCUAUGAAUUAGUUAAACUGACCGUUAUAGCCCAGUAGGGUAAAGUACAGGUUUAUAAUACAUGUUGUAAGAUCGAGACAGUGUAUGCCUAGGUUUUUUUUAUUCAUAACUAAUUUUAACGUUGUUGAACUUAUGGUUGUUCUUUCUGUUUUUAACAUGGUUUGCAUUUUUUUGUAAAUACUAUACUUUUGUUACGUAAAAAACAUAGUUUAAGAGUUAAUAUUUAAAAUUCAUUCAGAUUAAAAUCAAUUAAUGUCAGAUCAGUGUCGUAGAAUACAAUACAUAACGUGACAAGGCAGUGUUUCUUAGUUUUUCAUAUCCUUGUAGACAAUUUUGAUUUGAUCAUUGAUUUUCCUUAUAUGCAUAUUGUAAAAAAUAAAAAUCUCCUUUUAAAAAACCCAACAAAACAAGUAUUCUGACUCAGGUGAGCAAUUUAGGGCAAUCAUGGCCCUCUUGUUGGUCUUCUUACUGUGUUUUUGUUGAUUUUAAUUUUAUUACUGUAUUGUUUUGCAUCUAUCUAACAGACUUGCUAGUAUAAUUGUAUUAUUGUGCUGACGUAAUAUGUUACCUUUUUCAAAUGCCUUGCUGAACAGGACUGUUGCUGUGUAAAAUGUUGUUUUUUUAUUUGUAUGAAUUGCAUAACAUUUAUGUUGUUUCAUUUUCUUUUUGUGCCCCCACGUUAGUGGCGGGCAUUUAGAUUUACCCUUGUCCGUCCUUACGUCCGUCCGUCUGUCCGUUCAUUAUUGUGUCGCACGUAACUCAAAAAGUAUUUGACCUAGAGUCAUGAAACUUUACAGGAAUGUUGAUCAGCAUGUGUAGUUGUGCACCUGGGUAUUUUCGUCUGGAUACUUUUAGUAUUUUCAGAAUUAUUGCCCUUGACUUAGUAAAAUUUUGCAAUUUUCAACUUGUGUCACAUAUAACUCAAAAAGUAUUUGACCUAGAGUCAUGAAACUUUACAGGAAUGUUGAUCAGCAUGUGUUGUUGUGCACCUGGGUAUUUUCGUGUGGAUACUUUUAGUAUUUUCAGAGUUAUUGCCCUUGACUUAGUAAAAUUUUGCAAUUUUCAACAUGUGUCGCAUGUAACUCAAAAAGUAUUUGACUAGAGUCAUGUAACUUUACAGGAAUAUUGAUCAGAAUGUGCAGUUGUGCACCAGGUAUUUUCGUCUGGAUUUAUUUAGUAUUUUUAGAGUUAUUGCCCUUCACUUAGAAAAUUUUUGCAAUUUUCAACUUGUGUCUCAAGUUACUGAAAAUGGAUUUGACAUAGUCAUUAAACCUUAUGGGCAGGUUGCUCAGCAUAUUUAGAUUUGAACCAGGGGUUUCACUUGUGGAUUUAUCCAGUAUUUGUAGAGUUAUUUCCCUUGACUUAGUAAGAAGAUUGACAGAACAGUAUCGCGGUGGGGGCACCCGUGUCCUAUGGACACAUUUCUAGUUUACCAUAUAUUGACUGUAUAACAUGAUCAUAUGUUCAUUUGCUGUGUACAAGUUUUUUAAGUUAUGAUCCCCUAAUCCGCUUUGAUCGGCAUAAUUAUUGUCCACUCCAAAGAAACUGAGGGGCAUAAGUUCAAACCCCAGAAGAGUCAACUAUUUUUCUUUUUAUAUUUUUUCAGUAUGUCUCAGAUCCCUCGUGGAAAGUAAAAAAGUAUUUAAUUUUAAUAAUGGAAUAUGAUAGGUAUUUAUUGACUAAAAUGCCAAAUUAAAGAACAAACAUGCUAAUCAAAACUACACGGUUAAAAGUAUUUUAUAUUUGACCAUAUACUUCGUAAAAAUUAAGACAAUUAAAGCAAAGUUUGAAAACAGCCCCUGACUUUGGUAAUUUUAAGGGAUAUUUUGAAUAAGUAGGAAAAAGGUCAAACAAGUGAUUAAAAUGGGUUGGCUGGGGUAACAAUUUUGUACAUAUUUCAAACAUUUUGCACAUAAACAAUAAUUUUGCUUGUGUGAUUUGUUAGCUGAAUGCUAUUAGUUGUUUCUUAAUAAAAAAUAAAUAAGGAAACAUUUUUCAUAA